Molecule: non-coding RNA, 74 nt
Organism: Desmophyllum pertusum
Lineage: Eukaryota; Metazoa; Cnidaria; Anthozoa; Scleractinia; Caryophylliidae
Source: the annotation of a GenBank genome assembly
GGCAGCAUGGCCAAGUGGUUUAGGGCGCUGGUGUUCUAAUCUGGAGGUUCGGGGUUUAAGCCCUCCAUUUGCCA